UACGAAGGGGCUAGCGUUGCUCGGAAUCACUGGGCGUAAAGGGUGCGUAGGCGGGUCUUUAAGUCAGGGGUGAAAUCCUGGAGCUCAACUCCAGAACUGCCUUUGAUACUGAAGAUCUUGAGUUCGGGAGAGGUGAGUGGAACUGCGAGUGUAGAGGUGAAAUUCGUAGAUAUUCGCAAAGAACACCAGUGGCGAAGGCGGCUCACUGGCCCGAGUACUGACGCUGAGGCACGAAAGCGAUGGGGAGCAA
RNAcentral lists this ribosomal RNA (250 nucleotides) under uncultured bacterium. RNAcentral's name for it is "partial 16S ribosomal RNA". It matches the Rfam family "Bacterial small subunit ribosomal RNA", at positions 524 to 771 of the family's 1533-position model. The record is from RNAcentral.